AGCCACUUUGUGCUCCAUGAGAAGGGGAGAGCAAAUAUAUUUGUUUUAGCAUUUAUUGAGAGCCUGUUAUGUAACAGGCCCUGUUUAACCCUGAGUUUGGUCUGAAAAUCAAGCUUUCUGGGCAGUUUUUCUCUCUGUCUCAUUUUCCAUCAUAAGAAGACUGUGCAAAUUAAGCACCUUAACCUGAAAAGAAAAAGAGAAGGUCCUUCUAGAAGUAUAUCACACAAAGGAAAGAAAUCUGAAGUUCAGAACUCUAAGAUUACUAAAAUACUAAGCACAGAGUCCUAUCAAGUGGAAAAUGGGGAUGAUAGCGGAUAGAACAUCAUUAGGUGAGAACAUUUAUUGAGCACUUACUGUGUGCCAGGCAUUUUGUAAAUACUCAGCAUGUAUUAAUUUAUUUAACAUUCACAAUAGCUGCUAUUACUGUCAUUCCAAUGAGGAAACUGUAGCAUUGAUAAAUUAGGAAAUUUGCCUAAAAAAAUAGCUUGUAAGUGAUUGAACCCAGAUUUAGAUUUAGCUGUCUGGCUCCAGAGUCUGCAUGCAUAACCUUUAUGUUCCAUUGCCUCUGAUAAUCCCAUGGGAUAACUUCCAUAAGAAGCAUGAAGUGGUAUCGGCUUGGGGGUUCCAGCUGAAGGUCUGGAGAAUGGUGCUACCUACAAUGGAGGUAGAAGCAAGAUCUCUGAGAUUUGAUGACAGAACACUGGAAAAUAUUUUCAAUGAAUAGAGAUCUCUAAAGAGACCCUGCUGUGACCUAUUGGCAAAUACAAUGCAUUAUUGGUGAGCCUUUUUUGUCUGAACUUGAUGUCUGUCCAGAAGACAAAAACACUGAUUAGGUAGAAGGAGGAUGAAAGUCCUUCAGGAACAGAGUGACUCUGGACCUCAGCUACAAACUGCAGCUUAUUCAUAAAUGUCAAGAAACAAAAGGCUAUAUGCAUUGUCUAAGGAGCCUAAACAAACACCCUGGAGAACAGAGGUUAGCUCUGAGGGCUGUCUACCCUCCUGCUCUAAAUCUUCACAAUGGUGCCAUUCUUCACCUUUCCUUUCUCCUUUGAACAAUCACUGGCUUAAAUUGUACCUGCUCCAGCAAGACAGGUUUGCAGGUUUCAUAAGCCUUCAUGACAGAGAAUUAUUGCUACUCAGACUCAGGGCACCAGCAGCUCUAGUUCUGAUGAGAGAACACCACCCCAGGAAAAUUACAGACUAAGGAUCCAAAUCCGAGCCAAGAAAUCCCAGCAGGUACCUCUUAGAAAACUGGGAAGUGUUCUGUAUUAUGGAAUUGAAGAUAGAAGUGUUUUUCAGGGUGCUUGGGAAGAUUCCUUUGGUAUCUCAAUGGCUCCCUCCAUUAGUUUUCCAGUGGUUGAAAAUUUACCAUGACAGCUUUAUUCCUUUCUAUUUAAGAUUUUGCCACCUGUAAAAAUGCAAAUACCCUUGGAAGAAUCAGCAUAUUAAGCUUUAUGAAUGAAAAGAAGAUUUAAAUGAGAGAGCUGACCAGAUUCAUCCUAAGUACAAGCUUUGAUAGAAGCUGGUGACAAUACUAAGAGAGGGGGAUGGAGUAAAGACAGGUGGAGGUGCCAACAACAGGAGGAAAGGAAGAAGGAAGCGAGAUGGGAUUUGCUGAAAACAUUUGUCAUUGUUAAUAAAGGCUAUCAAUUCAAGGAUUGUAGGAGAAAA
Molecule: long non-coding RNA, 1671 nt
Filed under: Felis catus (domestic cat)
Lineage: Eukaryota; Metazoa; Chordata; Mammalia; Carnivora; Felidae
Description: lncRNA (ENSFCAG00000046457.2)
Source: RNAcentral